RNAcentral lists this ribosomal RNA (253 nucleotides) under uncultured bacterium. RNAcentral describes it as "partial 16S ribosomal RNA". It matches the Rfam family "Bacterial small subunit ribosomal RNA", at positions 524 to 776 of the family's 1533-position model. The record is from RNAcentral.
UACAGAGGGUGCGAGCGUUAAUCGGAAUUACUGGGCGUAAAGCGUGCGUAGACGGUUACGUAAGUCGGGUGUGAAAGCCCCGGGCUCAACCUGGGAAUUGCAUUCGAGACUGCGUAGCUAGGGUGCGGAAGAGGGAAGCGGAAUUUCCGGUGUAGCGGUGAAAUGCGUAGAUAUCGCUUGGAACGCCGAAGGUGAAAACAGGUCGCUGGGGACGCGCCGACGCUGAGACACGAAAGCCAGGGGAGCAAACGGG